GGUCUCCGCCGAGCUGACGGCGUCCGUGGCCAAGCGGAAAUCCUUCAUCGGCACCCCCUACUGGAUGGCCCCCGAGGUGGCGGCGGUGGAGAAGAAGGGGGGCUACAACCAGCUGUGUGACAUCUGGGCGCUGGGAAUCACUGCCAUCGAGCUGGCCGAGCUGCAGCCCCCCCUCUUCGACCUGCACCCCAUGAGGGCCCUGAUGGUGAUGUCCACAAGC
This is a long non-coding RNA of Alligator sinensis (Chinese alligator), 220 nucleotides long. RefSeq lists it as uncharacterized. NCBI's taxonomy places the organism in Eukaryota, Metazoa, Chordata, Crocodylia, Alligatoridae. The record is from RefSeq and is a predicted model, not a curated record. The transcript is spliced from 3 exons.